GUGAAGAACGCAGCGAAAUGCGAUAAGUAGUGUGAAUUGCAGAAUUCAGUGAAUCAUCGAAUCUUUGAACGCACAUUGCGCCCCUUGGUAUUCCAUGGGGCAUGCCUGUUCGAGCGUCAUUUGUACCUUCAAGCUUUGCUUGGUGUUGGGUGUUUGUCCCGAGGGACUCGCCUUAAAGUAAUUGGCAGCCAGUGUUUGGUUUUGAAGCGCAGCACAAGUCGCGAUUCAAGGCUACACGCCCGCUUCCACAAGCCUUUUUUCACUUUUGACCUCGGAUCAGGUAGGGAUACCCGCUGAACUUAAGCAUAUCAAUAAGCGGAGGA
This 323-nucleotide unclassified non-coding RNA is filed under the name soil metagenome. RNAcentral's name for it is "partial contains 5.8S ribosomal RNA, internal transcribed spacer 2, and large subunit ribosomal RNA". The stretch from base 2 to 119 matches the Rfam family "5.8S ribosomal RNA", at positions 37 to 154 of the family's 154-position model. The record is from RNAcentral.